This is a long non-coding RNA of Eriocheir sinensis (Chinese mitten crab), 739 nucleotides long. RefSeq lists it as uncharacterized. The record is from RefSeq and is a predicted model, not a curated record. Lineage: Eukaryota; Metazoa; Arthropoda; Malacostraca; Decapoda; Varunidae. The transcript has 5 exons.
CAGCGAUUCCCUCAGCCCCAACGCUGCCUUCCAAGCCCUCAGGUGCACGACAACCCUCCAGCAGAAGUCUGGCCACCCUGACAGGACCCACUCCAAGAACACGUCCUGACCACCACAGCCCCACACUGCUUACCUAUGAAAUGGAUCGCGCUGAUUGGGUCUCCUUUGGCACUCUGAUGACAGGCCGCGGUCCCGUGGCCUGACCAGCCCCCGAGACACUGAAGGAGAAGCCAAACCAGGGCCAGGGGCAGGCCUUGGCCCGGCUCGUCAGGUGCAGAGGACGGAGCAGCGUGGUGGACGGACCCUGAAUGCAGUGCAGUAAGAAAUGAUGUUGUGUGACUUAUACUGCUGAGGAAGCAGGAAAGACUUGGGACCUGCGACCAGGGCGAGAACAUCCCUCGACUUGAGCGUGACCUCCAACGUGUGAAGAGGACCUAAGGAAGCAAUGAGGUAUGGUGCACUGAAGACCCUGCCAGGUGUCCUAGCCCUACAGCAUCUCGUGUACCAGCUUUGAUGGAGAGUGAGGUCUUGCACACUCCAGUUGUCAGUCAAACUUCAGGAGCUGUCUGUUGGAGAGGGGGAGAUGUUCAUUAACUCUGAAAAGAAAAUUUUGCUGCUUCUCAACUUAUGUUUGUUUAGUUUAUUUUCUCAAAUAUCUUGUGACUUGUGUAACAUUAUAGGGACUUUACACUUAAGGUAGCAUUGAAUAUAUUGAAAAUAUAUGUAUGGUAAUCUCAAA